Molecule: ribosomal RNA, 309 nt
Filed under: uncultured bacterium
Lineage: Bacteria
Description: bacterial SSU rRNA
Rfam family: Bacterial small subunit ribosomal RNA
Source: RNAcentral
GAUGAACGCUAGCGGCAGGCUUAAUACAUGCAAGUCGAACGGUAACAGCAGAGUUUACUUUGGCUGACGAGUGGCGAACGGGUGAGUAACGCGUACACAAUCUACCUUUAAGUGAGGGAUAGCCUAUGGAAACGUAGAAUAAUACCUCAUGGUAUUGCAUUAUCGCAUGGUAAUGUGAUUAAAGAUUUAUUGCUUAGAGAUGAGUGUGCGUCCUAUUAGCUAGAUGGUAGUGUAAUGGACUACCAUGGCGACGAUAGGUAGGGGGCGUGAGAGCGUGGACCCCCACACGGGUACUGAGACACGGACCCG